Molecule: ribosomal RNA, 238 nt
Filed under: uncultured bacterium
Lineage: Bacteria
Description: partial 16S rRNA
Rfam family: Bacterial small subunit ribosomal RNA
Source: RNAcentral
GUGUCAGCAGCUGCGGUAAUACGUAGGUGGCAAGCGUUGUCCGGAAUUAUUGGGCGUAAAGCGCGCGCAGGCGGGAUAUCAAGUCUGUCUUAAAAGUGCGAGGCUCAACCUCGUGAGGGGACGGAAACUGGUAUUCUUGAGUGUCGGAGAGGAAAGUGGAAUUCAAAGUGUAGCGGUGAAAGGCGUAGGGAUUUGGAAGAACACCAGUGGGGAAGGCGACUUUCUGGACGAUGUCUGA